This 492-nucleotide ribosomal RNA is filed under the name uncultured bacterium. Its description in RNAcentral is "partial 16S ribosomal RNA". It matches the Rfam family "Bacterial small subunit ribosomal RNA", at positions 29 to 507 of the family's 1533-position model. The record is from RNAcentral.
AGUGAACGCUGGCGGUAGACCUAACACAUGCAAGUCGAACGGCAGCACAGUAAGAGCUUGCUCUUACGGGUGGCGAGUGGCGGACGGGUGAGGAAUACAUCGGAAUCUACUUUUUCGUGGGGGAUAACGUAGCGAAACUUACGCUAAUACCGCAUACGACCUACGGGUGAAAGCAGGGGAUCUUCGGACCUUGCGCGAUUGAAUGAGCCGAUGUCGGAUUAGCUAGUUGGCGGGGUAAAGGCCCACCAAGGCGACGAUCCGUAGCUGGUCUGAGAGGAUGAUCAGCCACACUGGAACUGAGACACGGUCCAGACUCCUACGGGAGGCAGCAGUGGGGAAUAUUGGACAAUGGGCGCAAGCCUGAUCCAGCCAUACCGCGUGGGUGAAGAAGGCCUUCGGGUUGUAAAGCCCUUUUGUUGGGAAAGAAAAGCAGCAGGUUAAUACCCCGCUGUUCUGACGGUACCCAAAGAAUAAGCACCGGCUAACCUCGUG